UGUGUGUGUGUGUGUGUGUGUGUGUGUGUGUGUGCACGCAUGCACGCGCGCACACACACACACACACACACACA
This 74-nucleotide microRNA precursor is filed under the name Podarcis lilfordi (Lilford's wall lizard). The record is from RNAcentral. Lineage: Eukaryota; Metazoa; Chordata; Lepidosauria; Squamata; Lacertidae.